GUCAGUCACGCGAAUCAAUAUCAGUAUCGAGUCAUCGAGAUCAUCAGUCGAACGAAUAAGUACCACAGUAUCGCGCAAUUUUAUAACGAAUAUCAUCGAGCGAGCAACGCUUGCGAUUAACUUUGUAUUUUACAUUUUAAAAUAUCUGUAAUUAUAGUUAACGAAAUCAACUCGUUUCGUUAUUAAUUUAAAUUGAUCUCACCGUCCACCACAUAAGUACUUAACGCAGAUGUUACUCGAUUAAAAAUUCACAUUUAUUUCACAUCAGUGGAAAAUUGGAUACAACGCAUGGCCACGGGUAGAACUAUUAGGUUUGCACCAAUGUACAGAGAGAAGAUGAUAUAUUUAUACUGAACUUUAUUUCGUAAAAUAAAAAACCAAACGUAUUCAUCAAUACAUUUUACUGCAACUUAUAUUUAUAUUUGGGUAAAUUCUUCGAACGAAGAAAGACGAAAGAUGCAGGAGUUGUAAUAUGGUUGCACUCGUUAUAUGCAAAACUGAAACCUGUUUUGCUAAUGAUUAUCAUAAGUUAUUUGCGAUAUCUCUGUGGCUGACCUUUUGCUCCCCUAUCUUUGACUAUGACAUUGACCGUUCGUUUCUUUUAAAUGAUCAUUAUGAAAGUUUACAACUUUUUA
Long non-coding RNA from Bombus terrestris (buff-tailed bumblebee), 635 nucleotides. RefSeq lists it as uncharacterized. The transcript is spliced from 2 exons. Lineage: Eukaryota; Metazoa; Arthropoda; Insecta; Hymenoptera; Apidae. The record is from RefSeq and is a predicted model, not a curated record.